RNAcentral lists this non-coding RNA (175 nucleotides) under bacterium. RNAcentral describes it as "6S RNA". It matches the Rfam family "6S / SsrS RNA". Rfam says of the family: E. coli 6S RNA was the first non coding RNA to be sequenced, but its function was unknown until recently. The record is from RNAcentral.
CAAGCUCUGUAUGGGUGUUAAUUUUGUUCCUACAUUUAUAUAAAUAGGGAGAGUUAACUCCAUGGCAUUGAAGUAUACCCGCCGAUUUUUAUCGCCAGCGGGAAACGGAUUAGUCAGGGUGCUCACCCACCUGCGAGCCAAAGCAGGUAACAAAAUCCGCCUAUACGGGGCUUUU